AUUACCAGAAACUAUAGGAGCAUAACGACUGCUGGUGUAGCCUAUUACCAGAAACUAUAGGAGCAUAACGACUGCUGCUGUAGCCUAUUACCAGAAACUAUAGGAGCAUAACGACUGCUGGUGUAGCCUAUUACCAGAAACUAUAGGAGCAUAACGACUGCUGGUGUAGCCUAUUAACAGAAACUAUAGGAGCAUAACGACUGCUGGUGUAGCCUAUUACCAGAAACUAUUGGAGCAUAACGACUGCUGGUGUAGCCUAUUACCAGAAACUACAGGAGCAUAACGACUGCUGGUGUAGCCUAUUACCAGAAACUACAGGAGCAUAACGACUGCUGGAAUAGCCUAUUACCAGAAACUAUAGGAGCAUAACGACUGCUGGUGUAACCUAUUACCAGAAACUAUAGGAGCAUAACGACUGGUGGUGUAGUCUAUUACCAGAAACUAUAGGACCAUAACAUCAGAAUUUACGAAGGCCAGCAGCAGCGGAAGGAGUAGGCUAAGGAAGAGUUUUUUUCUGAUGGUUAGGCUAUCUUAAUCUCUGGCUCCCUCGAGUCAUUUGUGUGUCUUAAUUAUUUAAUAAGUCCCAAAAUGGAUGUAACAACCGCUGAUUGCCCCUUUAAGAGAACAUAUUGGGCUAAGCUAAUAGGAGAUAUUGAGGACUACAGUAUUUCAGGCAUUGUCAUUGGAUGCAUUUGAUCAAUUGUUAACGUUUUGUUGAUGGUCCACUCUUGCUGUUCUACACGUUACAGUGUAGCUUUACUGCACCUUUACUGCAUAUUGGUUCAACGACUGCAGAGACGGUACUUACUGGUGUUAAACAGAUCUCCAACCUCCUUUUCUUCCUCCAAUGUGACAGUAAUCUCCCCCUCCUCCUCUUUCACUCCAAAAACGGAAUCCUCCUCUUUCUCUUCCUCUUCUUUUACUGUAACAUCCUCCUCCUCUUUCACUCUGAACGCGUCUUCCUCUUCUUUCACUGAAACGUCUUUCUCUUCUUCUUUCACGGUAACAGCCUCACCCUCUACUUGUUUUGUAUUGUAACGUCCUUCUCUUCCUCCUCCUCUUUCACGAGAACGUCUUUCUCCAUCCAGCAGACCUCCUCUUCUUUAGCAGGAGGAGAGUAGUUUAGUGAACUCAUGGUCGGAGAUGUUAGCUAGCUAGCAUAAAAAAAACAAAAAAUAAAUAAAUAAUAAUAAUAAUAAUAAUAAAUAGCUAGCUAGCAUUAGCGACUAGCUUAGUUCUAAGCAAACCAGCUAGCUGACAAACAACGUAAAUAUAUAAUUAAAUGGGCCAACAAGUACAUACAACAGAAGUGUGUUUAAUACACAGCGACUAACAUACACCAAAACAGUGUAAAGAGCGUGAAUGUUGUAGCUAUGUUUGCUAGAAAGCUACCGAGGUGUCUGACUAGCUGUUGUUG
Molecule: long non-coding RNA, 1417 nt
Filed under: Salmo salar (Atlantic salmon)
Lineage: Eukaryota; Metazoa; Chordata; Actinopteri; Salmoniformes; Salmonidae
Description: lncRNA (ENSSSAG00000110708.1)
Source: RNAcentral